UUACAAACAUAGAAUAUACUUAAGUUAAUUAAUACUAUAAAUUUACUUUAUAAACAAUGGUAAAAAGAUUUAGCUACUUCACAGUGUCUUAGAAUAAAAAUAGUGUUGUUUAUUAAGUUAUAUCCAAUGGCCAAUUUUGAAUAUUUGUAAUCUACAAAGAGUUUAUAUCGGAGGUUGAUUAUUGAACGUCAAUUAUAAAAGGAUUAAAUGUAAAUUAUCACUAUUCAUGUUCCAAGACAAAAGUUCCUUUUGAACUAAGCGAUCUUUCAUUCCAGGAUAACUAUUUAUAAUGCUACAAGCAGCUAUUAAAUGAUUAAAUCAGAGUUGACUCGGCUACAUUAUUUAUUUAAAGAAAUUGUCCAUGAUAUUGGAUUACAUGAAAAUUUGUACCAGAAAAAUAAAUUACAAGAAUACCAAAAAAUAAUGUUAAAUUAAUUUAACUCGUAUUCAUUGUAGAAGAUUAAUUGCACCCUAGUCACAUACGUAUCGAUGAUUCCAUAGAGUUUUUAUCAUCAGUACUUAUCUGUGUAAUAAUUAUUAAUGCACACCAGUAUUAUAAAAGUGAAGAUUUACAUUUAGUACAAUAUGUUUGUUCAGUGAUAGAUUCAUAAUGUGUUAGCAAAUUUUCAAUCAGUGUACUGACAUCGUCUACACAGUCAAUAGUAUAAUCUCUUCCAGGGUACAUUUUCCAUAAGAUAUGAAGUCUUUUACUGUAAAAUUCCGCGGUGGCACCAGAUUCAGCAUAAUAUUGUAAGAUUUCUAAAAAUUCAGAUUUACUUUUUUGAUCGUCAACAAAAUUUCGAAAACUUUGAAAAUUUAAAUAUGUAAAAGAUAAAAGUUCAGUGAUACUAUCGAA
This is a long non-coding RNA of Microplitis mediator, 856 nucleotides long. RefSeq lists it as uncharacterized. NCBI's taxonomy places the organism in Eukaryota, Metazoa, Arthropoda, Insecta, Hymenoptera, Braconidae. The record is from RefSeq and is a predicted model, not a curated record. The transcript is spliced from 5 exons.